Molecule: ribosomal RNA, 338 nt
Filed under: haloarchaeon 3A1-DGR
Lineage: Archaea; Methanobacteriati; Methanobacteriota; Halobacteria; Halobacteriales
Description: partial 23S ribosomal RNA
Rfam family: Archaeal large subunit ribosomal RNA
Source: RNAcentral
GCUACUGUGCCAGCUGGUGAAUGGCUCGGCUCGAGAGCCGACGACGGACGUGCCAAGCUGCGAAAAGCCUGAGGGAGCCGCACGGAGGCGAAGAACUCAGGAUCUCCGAAUGGGAAUCCCUUUCACAAUUGCCUUGCGCAAUAGGGAACCCCCCGAAUUGAAACAUCUCAGUAGGGGGCGGAAAAGAACGCAACCGCGAUGUCGUUAGUAACCGCGAGUGACCGCGACACAGUCCAAACCGAAGCCCUCACGGGCAANNNNNNNNNNGUAUGAAGUGGCAGUACAACGCGCGUCAGCUCCAGAGUAGCAGGGGUCGGAUAUCCUCUGUGAACACCCCA